AUCCAUAAAAUAAAAGCUGACGUUUAUACUGUACAUUACAAAACGCAAAUCACACACCAAGUGAUCUAAAUAUUUAACCGUACAUAGAUAUUAAAUAUAAAUAAUCGAUAUUUUAUACUUAUAUAGCGACAUGUAGCAAAUAUUUCAUACCACCUUUCCUUAUAUGGCAAUGAUUCCGCAGUACUUCCGGCUCAAAGUUUAACGGUGAGACGAGGCGACAAAUCACGAGGGCGACAAAUGAUUAAAAUUUUGGUCAGUACCUCGCACAAAUCUAUAGUGUGGCUUCAAAAUAUGUGUAACAUAGUGCACGGAGUCUGAUGGGCUACUUCUCAUUUUUGAGGCCAGAAUAACAGGACAUCACACACAUUUUAGAAGACGGGACCCUGAUCCCGGCGAACUGUUCUGGGAGCAGUCAGGAAAAGAUUAUGAUAUAAGAGAGUUGUACAUUGACAAAGUUCAGCCCACAACCCCUGCUCAAGGUUGCAUUGAAAAGCUUGUGUCUGCUUUCCCAUAAUCCUGUGAGUGGGUCGCCGGGAGUCAUGUUGAAUGGUCAUCUGAGCUCUGCACCCAGUGUCCCUCUCCAAAUUACAGACUUCAUUCAGUAAAGGGAAACUGCACCUUGCAUGUAUACGCUAUGGAUGCCACGAUCCCAGAGCUGUGACUUAUCUUCCACCGGGCGAGAUUGAUAUGGAGGCAAGAAGAAAUUAACAACUUGGAUGACAUGGGGGU
This is a non-coding RNA of Misgurnus anguillicaudatus (oriental weatherfish), 729 nucleotides long. The record is from RefSeq and is a predicted model, not a curated record. NCBI's taxonomy places the organism in Eukaryota, Metazoa, Chordata, Actinopteri, Cypriniformes, Cobitidae.